RNAcentral lists this small RNA (174 nucleotides) under Gopherus agassizii (Agassiz's desert tortoise). RNAcentral's name for it is "TUC338 (ENSGAGG00000025072.1)". Lineage: Eukaryota; Metazoa; Chordata; Testudines; Testudinidae. The record is from RNAcentral.
UUGGCAGCCCUGAAAAUUGAAUUCCUCUAUUUAUCAACCAACCAGGGGAAAGGAUCAGUGCAGGCUUCUUCACCACACUGCCCUGCCAAUGUACCUCAACCCUGAGCUGGAGGGGCCACCUCUUGGGGUGAGGGGUGAGUUUUGUCUCCAGGGCCAUUCAGUGCUCAGGCUGUG